UACAGAGGUCUCAAGCGUUGUUCGGAUUCAUUGGGCGUAAAGGGCGCGUAGGUGGCCCGGUCAGUCCGUGGUGAAAGCGCGGGGCUCAACCCCGCGUCGGCCAUGGAUACUGCUGGGCUGGAGCACUGUAGAGGCAGGCGGAAUUCCGGGUGUAGCGGUGGAAUGCGUAGAGAUCCGGAAGAACACCGGUGGCGAAGGCGGCCUGCUGGGCAGUUGCUGGACACUGAGGCGCGACAGCGUGGGGAGCAAACAGGG
RNAcentral lists this ribosomal RNA (255 nucleotides) under uncultured bacterium. Its description in RNAcentral is "partial 16S ribosomal RNA". It matches the Rfam family "Bacterial small subunit ribosomal RNA", at positions 524 to 777 of the family's 1533-position model. The record is from RNAcentral.